GACGAACGCUGGCGGCGUGCUUAACACAUGCAAGUCGAACGGAAAGGCCCUGCUUGCAGGGUACUCGAGUGGCGAACGGGUGAGUAACACGUGGGUGAUCUGCCCUGCACUUCGGGAUAAGCCUGGGAAACUGGGUCUAAUACCGGAUAGGAGCCAUUCUUAGUGUGAUGGUUGGAAAGUUUUUUCGGUGUAGGAUGAGCUCGCGGCCUAUCAGCUUGUUGGUGGGGUAAUGGCCUACCAAGGCGGCGACGGGUAGCCGGCCUGAGAGGGUGGACGGCCACAUUGGGACUGAGAUACGGCCCAGACUCCGACGGGAGGCAGCAGUGGGGGAUAUUGCACAAUGGGCGCAAGCCUGAUGCAGCGACGCCGCGUGGGGGGUGACGGCCUUCGGGUUGUAAACUCCUUUCGCUAGGGACGAAGCUUUUUGUGACGGUACCUAGAGAAGAAGCACCGGCUAACUACGUG
RNAcentral lists this ribosomal RNA (465 nucleotides) under uncultured bacterium. Its description in RNAcentral is "partial 16S ribosomal RNA". It matches the Rfam family "Bacterial small subunit ribosomal RNA", at positions 28 to 507 of the family's 1533-position model. The record is from RNAcentral.